AGUAUUGUUUGGUGAAACUAUUAUUUUGCUUAUAUAUAGAUGAAGGUGUGGGCUGGUCUGCUGUGAAACUUGUUACUGUUUGCCCUGGUGAAAAACAAAACAAAACUGUAAAACACGGGACUUGGCGAUCCUGGAAGUGUCCUUCCCUCCCAGGUUCCUGGGGGUCCUCGAAAGAAAAAUAAAAAAGAGAACCACCCCCACCCCGCCACUGCCUGGGGCUCUUCUCCUCCCAGGGUCAGCAGCUGUCUCUUUGCUCUUAGCUGUCUCCACCCCUCCCCUAGCCUCUCUUCUUCCUGCUUCAGUCACUGAGUCCCCUCCUCCCUUUCUUCCAGGGACAAACGCCCCCCCGCAACUCAGGAAGUGGGGGUGGGGGGAUUUGAAGGGAGCGAAUGUGAUCGGAUGGAGGUGGCAAUGGGCACCCUAUCCUAGAAGGUCAAAUAAAGGACUAGAAAGCAAACACCCAAGCACCGGGAAACAGAACAGAAAGUAAGCGAGCUGUGGACGCGGAUUUGAGGGCAGGACUUUGGGAGCCAGAGCCUGGCGGCGCCGCCGCAGCGGGUCACUCCCAGAGGGCCGGCACCCAGACUUGGCAUCCUUAGCGCUUGGGUGCGCUAUCAACUAGCGAAGGAAAGACAGAAGGAGCCAAGAGUUUUGGAGCCAACUCCUGGAGAGGGAGCGGCUGAACUGAUUCGGAAGUUGGAUCUCUUUGUACACAGGAAUGCGGAGGAAAAAAAAAGCAAAACCCACCCCAUUGCUUCAUUUCCCCUCCAAGUCCGAGCACUUUCUAUUGUGCAAUGAAAAGGCUUUUUUCA
Cebus imitator (Panamanian white-faced capuchin) is the source of this 812-nucleotide long non-coding RNA. RefSeq lists it as uncharacterized. The record is from RefSeq and is a predicted model, not a curated record. The transcript has 2 exons. Lineage: Eukaryota; Metazoa; Chordata; Mammalia; Primates; Cebidae.